AUUGAACGCUGGCGGCAGGCUUAACACAUGCAAGUCGAACGAGUGGCGGACGGGUGAGUAAUGCUUGGGACUCUGUCUUAUGGAGGGGGAUCACGACGGGACACUGUCGCUAAUACCGCGUACCCUAGGAUGAGCCCAAGGGGGAUUAGGUAGGUGGUGGGGUAAAGGCCUACCAAGCCGAUGAUCUCUAGCUGGUCUGAGAGGAUGACCAGCCACACCGGGACUGAGACACGGCCCGGACUCCUACGGGAGGCAGCAGUGGGGAAUAUUGCGCAAUGGGGGCAAGCUGAUGCAGCCAUGCCGCGUGUAUGAAGAAGGCCUUCGGGUUGUAAAGUACUUUCGGCGAGGAGGCGUUAAUCACAGAAGAAGCACCGGCUAACUCCGUGCCAGCAGCCGCGGUAAUUC
Molecule: ribosomal RNA, 405 nt
Filed under: uncultured bacterium
Lineage: Bacteria
Description: partial 16S ribosomal RNA
Rfam family: Bacterial small subunit ribosomal RNA
Source: RNAcentral